RNAcentral lists this ribosomal RNA (376 nucleotides) under uncultured organism. Its description in RNAcentral is "partial 16S ribosomal RNA". It matches the Rfam family "Bacterial small subunit ribosomal RNA", at positions 527 to 897 of the family's 1533-position model. The record is from RNAcentral.
GUAGGUGGCAAGCGUUGUCCGGGAAUUAUUGGGGCGUAAAGCGCGCGCGGGCGGUUCUUUAAGUCUGAUGUGAAAGCCCACGGGCUCAACCGUGGAGGGUCAUUGGAAACUGGAGAACUUGAGUACAGAAGAGGAAAGCGGAAUUCCACGUGUAGCGGUGAAAUGCGUAGAGAUGUGGAGGAACACCAGUGGCGAAGGCGGCUUUCUGGUCUGUAACUGACGCUGAGGCGCGAAAGCGUGGGGAGCAAACAGGAUUAGAUACCCUGGUAGUCCACGCCGUAAACGAUGAGUGCUAAGUGUUAGGGGGUUUCCGCCCCUUAGUGCUGCAGCUAACGCAUUAAGCACUCCGCCUGGGGAGUACGGCCGCAAAGGCUGA